CGCCUUGCCAUCCUUCAGCACAUUCAUCAUGACAGCAUCGCAGAAUCGCUCAUUCCCCGUUCAUAAAAUGUGAGGACAAAGGGCUGAAUAUCUGCGAUAUUUUUAGAGCGCAGUCACACGGAGGCGGAGCACAGAUGCUUCGGCCAAGGAUGCGAGUGUCAAACAGCAGGUGGAGACUGACUGACUGACUGAAGGAAAGAACGAGACGAGAACCGACCACAAAAACACAUUUGAUGAGGAGGAGAGGACAUAUCAGCCUCCCGAUCCCCUCUGAAUGAGUGGGCCCUGAUAUCGUGAACCAUGGUGGAUCCAUUGGAGCCUGAUGACCAGAGUAAAUUCAGAGGGACCCAGUCUGAAAGCCCAGCUGUAGCCUCUGAAGCACCAUGUCUACCUGAGCCAGGUGAUGAUCGAGAGACAGAUGUUAGUGUGGAUUCCAGCCCACAGACUACUGAUCCUGUACCGAGCUCUCAAGAACCAUGCCAGCAACAAAACAGUCAACCAGAAGAGCAAAAACUACAUCUGGAUCUUUACAAUUUUGACUCUCCAGUCGCAGAGGGUAGUCGGUAUGUCCUGACAAGCCCUCGCUCUCUCGAGGCAUGCGCACGUUGUGGAGUGAAACCUGUGGAACUUCUGGCUCGUCCACUGUCUGAUUUUGCCCGUGAGGCACCCGGCCGCAGCAUGCGUGUCGCCACAGGAAUGUUUGAGAUAUAUGAGAGGGAUAGACAUGCUAAACUCCGACACUGCAGAGAGGAAAGAGAGCGGAUUAUCAGAGAGGAGAAGAGGCGAAAUCUUCAGGCGGCUCUCAACAACAAUGGUGGUCCGCUGUCUUCAGAGAAGUCACAGGAAACCGUCAAUGCUAAUAAUAAUCAUAGUUUAACAAAUCAAGCCCACAAAAUAGCACCUACCUGCAGUGGUGCACCCAAAAAGCAAUCUGCAACAUCUAAUCCUAAAAGCAUGACAGCGGGAUCAGGACCAGUGUCAUCAUCGUUCUCAAAAGCCAAUCCGGUGAACUCUGCUACUACCGCUAAAGGAACGUCUGCAAAAAAGCCCAAGUCCCUUCAAGUAGAGUCUGGGGGAAAACCUUCAAUAAUCCAACGAUCAAAUCCGUCAGCUCCAGGAGGUCAGGCCACAAAAAAAACGUUCAGUACUCCUACAAAGGCUCCAAAUACCUUCCCCAGAUCAAUACAAAAACCUCCUUCUUUUCCAAGGACAUCAACUUCACUUGCCCCGAUAGUGUCGAAAUCUUCUGCCCAGAGUCCUGCCAAUGGCAUCACAAGUACGUUUGCACAGCACAAUGGACACAUCAUCUCCAAAUCAAAGGUUAAAUGCAGAAGCCACUCGCUGGAGUCUUUGCAACGAAGGCGUGACGCGUUUUGUUCCUCGACUGCUUCAACAACGAACACCACAACUACUACAUGCACCUCCUCUGAAUCUGCUUCCUCUUCCUAUAGCUGGGAAGGGGCAAGAGAUCACUGGGCUAAGACAUCAAGCCCCCGUGCCCGCACUUUAGCCACCUUUAACUCUCUGAUGGGUCGCAGUUUAAGCUUGGGAGACCUCAGCCACUCUCCACAGACUAUGCAAAAAGUGGAGCGCAUCGUGAAGGAGGUGAAACGCAGAGGACUUAAAGCUGUUCCAGAACGUGACCGAAAGAUUGCCGCAUUAAUGCUCGCCAGGUACCAAGAGGAGGACAUAAUGAGCCAGACACGCUACGUAGCACACCUGCAAUGGGACAGCGAGAAGCGGCUGGAGGAGCUGCGACGGGAACGCGAAGAGCGGGAGAAACAGAGGGCCGUGCAGCAGUGCCAACGAGCAUGGCAGUCGCAAGUUUCUACCCGGCAGCGUUGGCUCAACCAGCAGGAGCGAGAGGCUGCCGAUGCCAAACUCCGCCAAGCGGUGGAAAGUGAGGAGCGUUGGAGGGAAUUGGCCGAGCAACAAGAACGCAGCCGAUUGCAGAAACUGCAACAGGCUGCUCGCGAGGAGAAACACAAGAAGUCAUUACAAGAACAGAACCUUAAAGCUCUGGAGGAGGACCGAGCCGCCGUUCUGGAGCAAGAGAAGCUGCUCCUCAAGGAGAAACUGACUAUUGCUGAGCUUAAGCGGCAGGAGCGAGAGCACCAACUACAAGAGGAGCGUCGUGGACUCAACCGUGCCGAGAAGAGGCGCCAUGCGGCUCUUAUCCAAGAGAUUGCACGUCGGGAAGCAGACGAGCGCGAAGAAGCUCGGAGAACUGCCGACGAGAAGCUAAAUAGGUCUUUGGAGAACUACGAGCAGAUACAAGAAAGACGUGGGCAGGAGCUAAAGGAGAAGGCCAAGCGGGAAGAGAAGCAGAUCCAGAAAGCAAGACGGGCCGCCGAGCUGCGUGAGCAACAGCUUAAGGAACAGAUGGAGGCAAAGGCUCGGGAAGCUGAAAGACGAGGACAACAAGCCGCUCAAGUGGCCGAAGUGCGGGCGCGGGAGAAGGCCCAACGUGCGGGGCAAAGCAGGCAGGAAAAGGAACGACUUCAGAGGCUCAACCGUCAACGCGUAGAGGAAGAGGAGAAACAGCGCCGGCUAGAAUUGCUGCAGUCCAUUGAGCGCAAACUGGAAAAAAGUGAACAGAUUUUCCGAGAAAAACGCGCGGUGUUGGAAAGCGCCCGAUCCGUUGCCCGGGCAUCUUUCCACGUGCGAGAUCGUGUUCGCGAGGAGACAAACAUGCGCACCUUCGACAAGAUGGCCCUGGAGGCUCAGUUAAAGGCACAUUUAGUUGAGAAGUGAGCAACUGUGCAACUUAUUCGCUCUUUCCAUGCACAUCUGUCUAGAAAUAAGUUGUGCUUGAGCCUACAUGCUAGCCUCAUUACCAAACUACAGCAACACAAACUGAUGGUGUUUUACCUAAAGAUUCACUAUUCCUGAUGCUGGAUCAUUUUCAUCAUGUCAUCUAAAGAAAUAUUUUUCUGUAUUUAUAUAUUUUAAAUGUUAAUCGAAGAACUUUGUGCUUAUGUGUGGAUGAUCAUAUGUCGGGGCAUGAUUGUUUUGGUUUUUUUGUAACUUGGCAGCCAUGUUGCUUUGAGAGCUGUAUAUAAAGAGUUCAUUGUUUACAACGACGUUUGUCACUAUGGCGACAGUGAUGGCUUCUUUCUAAGGGUGGCUUUAUUUCUUAGAGGAAGAGAAAGAAAAGGGGACGGGAUGCUUCUCCCAGAGUCCCAGAGUAAAUCUUUUGAGGGAGACUCGAAGCCAUGACUUGAUGAGUGUAAACCAAACUCUGGCGAAAUGCUGAUCUAGCAUUGCAUCCUAGACAAGGACAUGACAAAGAAUGAUCUCAGCACAGUGUAACUGCUGAUGAAGCACAAGAGUCUUUGGUCAGCAAUUCCACACUGACAUCCCCGGCAUUCCUUCAGGUUUGGAAGCGGAGAAGAUGAUGACAUCUGCGACCUGAUUCAGUAAAGUAUAACCUCCAGGAGACUGCAAAAGACAUUUCACUUUAAUUAUGGACCCUUAUUCCCUCUCUGGCAGUGACUCAGCUAGGCAUGAUGUAACUGGAAGGUUUAAUAAACACCGAAGCCAUUUUACAUUCAGCAUAUCCAGAUGGCUCAACAACAACAACACUUUUAAUAGCAUAAAAGGUAAAAAAAACUCAGUUUUAAUGAUGAUAACCAAAAGAGAGUUCUGAAUGUAAUUCAUACUCGAGCCAUAACAGCUUUUUAGGGCUAUCUGGAAAGCAAGCUAAAUAUAAUACAGAUCUUGAUUUGUUCACACUGACAUUUUUGAAUAUCAGUUUUGCUGUAGUAAAUUUGACCAGCAAUGACUUGAAGAUGAUUGUAGCAUUAUUAUGUUAAAUCUUAAAAGUAUAUCUUAUCAAGGUGUUAUUACCGUUCUUUUAAUGAUCUAAAUAAAAAUAUGUUUCUUGUGGCAGCAGAUGUUUUAUUUCUCAAAGAAGGAACAUGCAGGGUGAUACUUUAUCAGAGAACAAAUUACUCAGUUUUGAACAUAACAUUCUGUAUUAAAAAUAAAUAAAUUCUAAACAAUG
This is a non-coding RNA of Pimephales promelas (fathead minnow), 4006 nucleotides long. The record is from RefSeq and is a predicted model, not a curated record. Lineage: Eukaryota; Metazoa; Chordata; Actinopteri; Cypriniformes; Leuciscidae.